Molecule: ribosomal RNA, 626 nt
Filed under: Anguilla australis (Australian shortfin eel)
Lineage: Eukaryota; Metazoa; Chordata; Actinopteri; Anguilliformes; Anguillidae
Description: partial 16S ribosomal RNA
Rfam family: Bacterial large subunit ribosomal RNA
Source: RNAcentral
UUAUCAAAAACAUCGCCUCUUGCUAACAAAGGAAGUACUAGAGGUCCCGCCUGCCCUGUGACCACAAAGUUUAACGGCCGCGGUAUCCUGACCGUGCGAAGGUAGCGUAAUCAUUUGUCUUUUAAAUAGAGACCUGUAUGAAUGGCAUAACGAGGGCUUAACUGUCUCCUCCCCCGAGUCAAUGAAAUUGAUCUGCCCGUGCAGAAGCGGACAUAAACACAUAAGACGAGAAGACCCUAUGGAGCUUUAGACAAAAGAUCAAACAUGUAAAGAAACCAAACUAACCAAAAGGAAUACAAAAGCCACAAAACCCAGUGUAAACUGAUCCAAAUGUCUUCGGUUGGGGCGACCAUGGGGGAAAGAAAAGCCCCCACGAGGAACAGGGACAACCCCUAAACUAAGAGAGACACCUCUAAGCAACAGAAAAUCUGACCAAAAAUGACCCAGGACACUAAUCCUGAUCAACGAACCAAGUUACCCUAGGGAUAACAGCGCAAUCCUUUCCCAGAGUCCAUAUCGACGAAAGGGUUUACGACCUCGAUGUUGGAUCAGGACAUCCUAAUGGUGCAGCCGCUAUUAAGGGUUCGUUUGUUCAACGAUUAAUAGUCCUACGUGAUCUGAGUUCA